AGCCAAGGCCACGGGUGAGACAAGCCUGUGUUAUGCGCUUAUAUAAUGCACAGGCUUCACCCAGAGAUGGAACCAGCUCGAACUACCAACUGAUAAUGUCUCAAGCAGACAACAGGUGACCAAAUUAAGGAAAGAAACCAGGAUCCUGGCAGCCCAGGAAGCAGAGCCGGUCAUGACAACAUGCAGCUGAUGAUGUGGGGGUGAAAGGCUGAGUAAGCGGUUGCAAUCUGCAGUGAGCCAAGCUGAAAGGCCCGGGCGGAUGUGAAGGCUGGUGGUAAGGAAAUGGGAAGCAGGCAGCCAAGCUAACCCUGUGUCCACUGAAGGAGUGAGGUGGCCUUGAGCACAGCAGCAUCCCUGGGUCUUACGUCGGCCAGAAGUAGAAAGGGAAGAAGCCUAAAGGAAGUGAAAGUGUUGCUGGAUCUCCUGCUGGCAUUGCCUCCUCCUUCACACAGCAUCCCGGUUCUCCCUGCAGCCACCUGAUCUUCCCUUUGUCCCCUUCCUCACCACAGCCCCACCACCUUCACCACUCCAAGUUGAUGCUUCUCCUACAUCUGGCCAAGAUGCUACUCAGAGGUGGAUGAAAGCAAAAGUCACUGCUCUAAUACAAGAAAAGUCCCGGUUUUAGGUUUCAGAAACAGAAUUUUCCCGAAUGUUUAAAAUGGUGAAUGGUUCCAUAAACUGUGUUAACCAGGCUUCUUACAGGCUAGUCCCAGAAUCUGACCACCAUGUGCAAUACUGUUUCUAAGAAAAGUGUGCUCCAAGCAAGAACCUUCAAACAUUUAACCUGAAUGAAUGAAUAUAACCUCUUCACGGUUCAGUGUUUUCAUAAGCAAAACAAGAGAAUAGCAGCAUUGAUGUCUUUUAAAAAAAAUUUAGGGCUGGGCGCGGUGGCUCACGCCUGUAAUCCCAGCACUUUGGGAGGCCAAGGCAGGCAGAUCACUCCUGAGGUCAGGAGUUUGAGACCAGUCUGGCCAACAAGAUGAAACCCUGUCUCUACUAAUAAUACAAAAAAAUUAGCUGGAAUGUGGUGGCACAUGACUGUAAUCCCAGCUACUCAGGAGGCUGAGGCAGGAGAAUCACUUGAACCCAGGAAGCAGAGGUUGCAGUGAGCCGAGAUCGAGCCACUGCACUCCAGCCUGCGUGACAAGAGCAAAACUCCAUCUCAAAAAAAAAAAAAAAAAAAAAAAUUUGGAAAGCUUCCCAUUUGGGAUCUGUCCACCUACACAGGGCAACACGAUAGUAUUGACAUCUCUUAGCUUUUACGGAAUUUUCUGCCUACAAUGCAGAGGGCAAAGAAGGGGUAUUGUCAGCUUGGCUUUGCUGUCUCUGAGUGACAGUCUCUUGUAUACGUAAAUAAGAUGAAUUUUCAUAAAAGCAUUGACAGAGCAUUAGCUUCACCUCAGAAAGAAAAUGAAAAAGCAAAUGACAACUGUAGUCAAAGAAGAAAUUAAAAUAUAGUUAAAUAGUAAACAGAUCAAGAAAAAAUCAGUGAAAACCUUUAACUUGCAACCUAUUCUUUUUAAAGACAUCAGUACACAAAGAUUGGGAAAGUUUAUUAAAAAUGUUACCAAACUUUAAGUUCUUCUUUUUUUUUUUUUUUUUUUUUUGAAACAGGGUCUCAUUCUGUCACCCAGGCUGGACUGCAGUAGCACGAUUUCAGCUCACCGCAGCCUCAGCCUCCCAGGCUCAAGGGAUCCUCCCACCUCAACCUCCCGAGUAGCUGGGAAUAAGUUCUUACUCACUCCGUUAGGUUGAGCUAUUCGAACAUCACUGUUUCCCAUGUAAACGUUGAGACCUUCAUUAGGCUCUCCUUGCUUACCCUGCCAUUUCACUUCAGGUGUCACCACCUUUAAGAAGCUACCCCUUGCCAGGUGUGGUGGCUCACACCUGUAAUCCCAGCUCUUAGGGAGGCAGAGGCAGGAGGAUAGCUUGAGCCCAGGAAAUUGAGACCUGCCUAGGCAAUAUAGCGAGACCCCAUUCUCCACAAAAAGGAAAAAAGCAAACAAAAAACAAGCAUAAGAAGCUACCCUUGAACCCACUGUAUCCUCAAUCUGAUUUUUGAAGCUGAUUCCUGGGAGCCCAGCAUCCUGGCACAGAGGCACUGCUAAGGCAAAGGCAUUGGUCUGCCCUCCCCACCAACUCUGAGCUCUUCAGGGGCAGGAAUAUGAUAUAUACAAGCAGUUCAUUUAAUCUCUACGAGCUGAAAUGAUUCAUUUGUCUUAAUAAUGCUGUCAUUUUAAAGUACAGAAUUUGAGAGCUGGAGGGAAUCUCAGAUACCAAUUAUUCCAACACUCCACUCUUUUCUGAGGCUUUAAAUGACUUGCUCCAAGUUAGAAAAGAAUCAGGACCCAAAGCCAAACCUUGAAAAUGCUGUUCUAAUGCUUUGUGCCUGCAUCCCAUGCCACCUUGCCUUUGUAAAUUCACAGGAUUAAAUAAGGGAAUCCUAAAAAAAUGUGUUCAAUUCCCCCUUCACUUCUAACCCUGGUCAAUUUUACAGGCAAAGAAACACCACUGGAGGCAAUGAAGGGCCGUUCUCACAAUUACAUGGUUCACAGCAGAGCUGGGAUGAAAACUCGGAUCUAAUAUGAGGGACCAUGUUCUUCCCACUAUCUCAUAAAAAUUCAACUUUCAAGUACAGGUCAUGGGUGUAGAGCAAAGGUCAGCAUGGCACAGGGGCCAAAUCCUGUGGGCCACCUGUUUUUGAGUAUGGCUUGCAAGCUAAGAAUGGUUUUUACAUUUUAAAAUGGUUAUAAAACAAGAAAUCAUACUUUGUGAGGUAUAUGAAGUUCAAAUUUCAGUGUCCACGAAUAACGUUUGGUUGGAACAUAGUCAUGAUCAUUUGUUUAGGUCCUGUUUAUGGCUGCUCUUGAGUAAUAGGGCAGAGUUGAGAAGUUGUGAAAGAGACCUCAAGAAAUGAAACCACACACCUAACACCAUCUGAUCUUCAACAAAGUCAACAAAGUAAGUAAUGGAGAAAGGACUCCCUAUUCAAUAAAUGGUGCUGGCUAGCCAUAUGCAGAAUAAAAUUGGACCCCUAUCUAUCACCAUAUACAAAAAUUCAUUCAAGAUGGAUUAAGGUUUAAAUGUAAGACCUCAAACCAUAAGAGUCCUAGAAGAAAGCCCAGGAAAUACCAUUCUGCAUCAGCCUUGGGAAAGAAUUUAUGACUAAGUCCUCAAAAGCAAUUGCAACAAAAACAAAAAUGACAAAUGGGACCUAAUUAAACUAAAGAGCUUCUACACAACAAGAGACACUAUUAAGAGAGUACAAAGACAACCCUCAGAAUGGGAGAAAAUAUUCACAAACUACGCAUUUAAGAAAGGUCUACAAAUCAACAAGCAAAACAACAAAUAACCCCGUUAAAAAGUAGGCGAAAGAUAUGAACAGACACUUCUCAGAAGAAGGCAUACAAGCAGCCAACAAACUUAUGAAAAAAUGUUCAUCAUCACUAAUCAUCAGAGAAAUGCAAAUCAAAACCACAAUGAGAUAACAUCUCACACCAGUCAGAAUGGCUUUUGUUAAAAAGUCAAAAAAUAACAGAUGUUGGCGAGGCUGCAGAGAAAAGGGAACACUUACACACUGUUGGUGAGAAUGUAAAUUUGUCCUGCCACCGUGGAAAGUAAUUUGGAGAGUUCUCAAAGAACUAAGAGCUGAACUACCGUUCGACCCAGCAAUCCCAUUACUAGGUAUAUACCCAAAGGAAAAUAAAUUGUUCUACCAAAAAGACACCAAACCAGAUAUUGAAUGUUCUCACUCAUAAGUGGGAGCUAAACAUUGGGUACAAGUAAACUUAAAGAUGGGAGGCUGGGUGCGGUGGCUCACGCCUGUAAUCCCAAUACUUUGGGAGGCCAAGGCAGGAGGACUGCUUGAGGCCAGGUUUGAGACCUGUCUGGGCAACAUAGCAAGACCCCGUCUCUACAAAAAAAACAUAGUAAAAUAAAAUAAAAUUAGCCC
Molecule: long non-coding RNA, 3952 nt
Filed under: Homo sapiens (human)
Lineage: Eukaryota; Metazoa; Chordata; Mammalia; Primates; Hominidae
Description: non-protein coding lnc-PEX7-4:1
Source: RNAcentral